This 468-nucleotide ribosomal RNA is filed under the name uncultured bacterium. RNAcentral's name for it is "partial 16S ribosomal RNA". It matches the Rfam family "Bacterial small subunit ribosomal RNA", at positions 28 to 507 of the family's 1533-position model. The record is from RNAcentral.
GACGAACGCUGGCGGCGUGCUUAACACAUGCAAGUCGAACGGAAAGGCCCUGCUUUUGUGGGGUGCUCGAGUGGCGAACGGGUGAGUAACACGUGAGUAACCUGCCCUUGACUUUGGGAUAACUUCAGGAAACUGGGGCUAAUACCUGAUAGGAGCUCCUGCUGCAUGGUGGGGGUUGGAAAGUUUCGGCGGUUGGGGAUGGACUCGCGGCUUAUCAGCUUGUUGGUGGGGUAGUGGCUUACCAAGGCUUUGACGGGUAGCCGGCCUGAGAGGGUGACCGGCCACAUUGGGACUAAGAUACGGCCCAGACUCCUACGGUAGGCAGCGGGGGGGAGUAUUGCACAAUGGGCGGGAGCCUGAUGCAGCAACGCCGCGUGCGGGAUGACGGCCUUCGGGUUGUGAACCGCUUUCGCCUGUGACGAAGCGUGAGUGACGGUAAUGGGUAAAGAAGCACCGGCUAACUACGUG